Molecule: transfer RNA, 63 nt
Filed under: Typhlocybinae gen. 1 sp. 1 BY-2021a
Lineage: Eukaryota; Metazoa; Arthropoda; Insecta; Hemiptera; Cicadellidae
Also listed under: 1 other name
Description: tRNA-Cys
Source: RNAcentral
GAUCUUGUAGUUUAUAAAAAUAUUAAAUUGCAAAUUUAAAGUUGAUUAUUUUUUCUAAGAUUU